RNAcentral lists this ribosomal RNA (572 nucleotides) under Trichoderma sp. RNAcentral describes it as "eukaryotic LSU rRNA". The stretch from base 200 to 353 matches the Rfam family "5.8S ribosomal RNA". Lineage: Eukaryota; Fungi; Ascomycota; Sordariomycetes; Hypocreales; Hypocreaceae. The record is from RNAcentral.
GCGGAGGGAUCAUUACCGAGUUUACAACUCCCAAACCCAAUGUGAACCAUACCAAACUGUUGCCUCGGCGGGGUCACGCCCCGGGUGCGUCGCAGCCCCGGAACCAGGCGCCCGCCGGAGGGACCAACCAAACUCUUUACUGUAGUCCCCUCGCGGACGUUAUUUCUUACAGCUCUGAGCAAAAAUUCAAAUGAAUCAAAACUUUCAACAACGGAUCUCUUGGUUCUGGCAUCGAUGAAGAACGCAGCGAAAUGCGAUAAGUAAUGUGAAUUGCAGAAUUCAGUGAAUCAUCGAAUCUUUGAACGCACAUUGCGCCCGCCAGUAUUCUGGCGGGCAUGCCUGUCCGAGCGUCAUUUCAACCCUCGAACCCCUCCGGGGGGUCGGCGUUGGGGAUCGGGAACCCCUAAGACGGGAUCCCGGCCCCGAAAUACAGUGGCGGUCUCGCCGCAGCCUCUCCUGCGCAGUAGUUUGCACAACUCGCACCGGGAGCGCGGCGCGUCCACGUCCGUAAAACACCCAACUUCUGAAAUGUUGACCUCGGAUCAGGUAGGAAUACCCGCUGAACUUAAGCA